AUGCCACAACAACAGUUAACAACAACAGUUCAUUAAAUAGAGGGUUAACAGUCAACAGGUUGCUUCAGGCAUGUUUAAAUUGAAUCCCCAUCUCAGUUAUGAUCUCGUUCAUACCGGUCUACACGAGUCUGUCUAGGAAUCUAUAAAAUAAGAACAGAAAUGCAUCCCGUAGAACAGACAAGGAUAAUUGUGUUGUAGAACAUCCUAUUGUGUCAGCUUUGCACUCUAGAUUUCUACCUGGCAAUAGAUGUUUACCUUUUAGUCAUUUAGCAGACGCUCUUAUCCACAGCUACUUACAGUUGCACAUUCAUCUUAAGAUAGCUAGGUGACAAAACCACAUAAGUCAUAGUAAGUGCUGUAAAUUCUUUCAAAAUAAAAAGUAGUUAUCAUUAAAGUCAGUGCUUGAAGGAAAAGUCCAGCGCAAGGUUCUUUUUUUGCGCGGAGGGGAAUAAAACAUGUCUUAUUUAAAAUACUUGUUUCUAAUUAGGCCCCUGUGUAUCGGUUGAGAGGGGGUGGGCCGUUGGUUGUACUGUUAAUAUAGGUUGAGGGGGAUGUGGGCCGUUGGUUGUACUGUUAAUAUAGGUUGAGGGGGAUGUGGGCCGUUGGUUGUACUGUUAAUAUAGGUUGAGAGGGGGUGGGCCGUUGGUUGUACUGUUAUUAUAGGUUGAGAGGGAUGUGGGUCUUUGGUUGUACUGUUAUUAUAGGUUGAGAGGGAUGUGGGUCUUUGGUUGUACUGUUAUUAUAGGUUGAGAGGGAUGUGGGUCUUUGGUUGUACUGUUAUUAUAGGUUUAAGAGGGAUGUGGGUCUUUGGUUGUACUGUUAAUAUGGGUUGAGAGGGAUGUGGGUCUUUGGUUGUACUGUUAUUAUAGGUUGAGAGGGAUGUGGGUCUUUGGUUGUACUGUUAAUAUGGGUUGAGAGGGAUGUGGGUCUUUGGUUGUACUGUUAUUAUAGGUUGAGAGUGAUGUGGGUCUUUGGUUGUACUGUUAUUAUUGGUCCAUCAUGUCUCUUACA
This is a long non-coding RNA of Oncorhynchus keta (chum salmon), 1011 nucleotides long. RefSeq lists it as uncharacterized. The record is from RefSeq and is a predicted model, not a curated record. Lineage: Eukaryota; Metazoa; Chordata; Actinopteri; Salmoniformes; Salmonidae. The transcript is spliced from 4 exons.